Molecule: transfer RNA, 60 nt
Filed under: Thylacinus cynocephalus (Tasmanian wolf)
Lineage: Eukaryota; Metazoa; Chordata; Mammalia; Dasyuromorphia; Thylacinidae
Description: tRNA-Phe
Source: RNAcentral
AGCUUAACCAAAGCAAAGCACUGAAAAUGCUUCGAUGGAUCAUAAUGGGUCCCAGAAACA